Molecule: long non-coding RNA, 334 nt
Filed under: Vombatus ursinus (common wombat)
Lineage: Eukaryota; Metazoa; Chordata; Mammalia; Diprotodontia; Vombatidae
Description: lncRNA (ENSVURG00010016637.1)
Source: RNAcentral
CGCGGCUAACGGUGCGGGGCCCCUGCGAGAGCAUCAGAGACACCCAGUGACUCACGGGCCGGGGGUGCACGCGUGAGUGUGUCCGAGGGCAGAAAUUUCUGGAAAGGAGCAGAUCCUGGGACUGUCGCUAGACUGGUUUCUGAUCCUCCAGUCUUGAGGACAGAACUUGGCUCUGCUUUCUCAAGACUCUGCCCUUCAGGAAAGGAGCACAGAGAAAGGAGGGAGAAAUGGCGUCCUCAAUGCUGCCAGCCAGAUACCAGGUGAGUUAGGGUUUCUUCUCUCCUCAGAUGCCAUCUUCUUUCUCAGAGUGAGGACACUUGGCUUUCCUUUGUCC